GCACUGCUGACGAGUCCCAAACGGUACGAAACAGCUGUCCAGUGU
RNAcentral lists this non-coding RNA (45 nucleotides) under Echinostoma caproni. The record is from RNAcentral. Lineage: Eukaryota; Metazoa; Platyhelminthes; Trematoda; Plagiorchiida; Echinostomatidae.